GACGAACGCUGGCGGCGUGCUUAACACAUGCAAGUCGAACGGUAAGGCCCUUCGGGGUACACGAGUGGCGAACGGGUGAGUAACACGUGGGUGAUCUGCCCUGCACUUCGGGAUAAGCCUGGGAAACUGGGUCUAAUACCGGAUAGGACCACUGCCUGCAUGGGUGGUGGUGGAAAGCUUUUGCGGUGUGGGAGGGGCCCGCGGCCUAUCAGCUUGUUGGUGGGGUGAUGGCCUACCAAGGGGAGGACGGGUAGCCGGCCGGAGAGGGGGACCGGCCACACUGGGACUGAGAUACGGCCCAGACUCCUACGGGAGGCAGCAGUGGGGAAUAUUGCACAAUGGGCGCAAGCCUGAUGCAGCGACGCCGCGUGAGGGAUGACGGCCUUCGGGUUGUAAACCUCUUUCAGCACCGACGAAGCGCAAGUGACGGUAGGUGCAGAAGAAGGACCGGCCAACUACGUGCCAGCAGCCGCCGUAA
RNAcentral lists this ribosomal RNA (478 nucleotides) under uncultured bacterium. RNAcentral's name for it is "partial 16S ribosomal RNA". It matches the Rfam family "Bacterial small subunit ribosomal RNA", at positions 28 to 523 of the family's 1533-position model. The record is from RNAcentral.